UUAAAAAUAAUUCAUAUAUAAGUUGUUUUACAUUAUUUUAGUGUUUUUUUUUGCAUGUUGUGGAUGAGCACAAUGAACAGUACGUCUACAAUCAAACUUGGGUAAACAUGACGACACGAAGUAGACUGACUAGGAGGAGUUGUUGUGGAGCAUCGACCGUUACAAAGCCAGUCAUGUCAACAUACCCAUACGAUGUCUUUGGAAUUUUAUCUGCUGCCAGAAGACCAUACGAUGUCCUUGGAAUUUUAUCUGCUGCCAGAAGACCAUACGGAAUGGUCUUCUCUUGGUUGAUUGGCUAUUUCUUGACUUCCAAAGACCAAACACUUGAGGAGGACGUGGAACACUACGGGAAGCACAUAAAUACUCCAACUAUAUCCUAACUAGGUAGGAUAUAUGGAAAGCAACAUUCAGGAACACAAGCAUUGAAAGAAAUCUUCAAUAUAUGCCAUCUCAAAUUCAUAUUUGUAAUACUUUCCAGAAA
Hordeum vulgare subsp. vulgare (domesticated barley) is the source of this 481-nucleotide long non-coding RNA. RefSeq lists it as uncharacterized. NCBI's taxonomy places the organism in Eukaryota, Viridiplantae, Streptophyta, Magnoliopsida, Poales, Poaceae. The record is from RefSeq and is a predicted model, not a curated record. The transcript is spliced from 2 exons.